GAUUAACGCUGGCGGCGUGCAUAACACAUGCAAGUCGAACGAACAAACUUAGUAGACUUCUUCGGAAAGACACUAAGCGGAUUAGUGGCGAAAGGGUGAGUAACGCGUGAGUAACCUGCCUUACACAAGGGGAUAGCCUUUUGAAACGAAGAAUAAUACCCUAUCAAACCAUAAAAGAACAUGCUAGAGUGGUCAAAGUGAUAGCGGAGUAAGAUGGACUUGCGUCUGAUUUGCUAGUUGGUGAGGUAAAAGCUCACCAAGGCAACGAGCCGUAGCCGGCUUGGGAGAGCGGACGGCCACACUACGACUGGGACCAGGCCCAGAUCCCUCGGAGAGGCCGCAGGGGUGACGGUUGCACACCGGGGGAGACAUGAAUGCAGCGAGGCCGUGUGACUCAGAAGGCCGUGGGGUUGUAAAGUUCUAUUGUAUGGGAAGAAAAUGACAGUACUAUACGAAUAAGGCCCGGCUAAUUACGUG
Molecule: ribosomal RNA, 477 nt
Filed under: uncultured bacterium
Lineage: Bacteria
Description: partial 16S ribosomal RNA
Rfam family: Bacterial small subunit ribosomal RNA
Source: RNAcentral